This is a long non-coding RNA of Alosa sapidissima (American shad), 176 nucleotides long. RefSeq lists it as uncharacterized. The record is from RefSeq and is a predicted model, not a curated record. The transcript has 3 exons. NCBI's taxonomy places the organism in Eukaryota, Metazoa, Chordata, Actinopteri, Clupeiformes, Clupeidae.
UACUGACUGACACUAUGGCUCAAGGACUAUGUGUGUAAUGCUGUUCAUUCAGAGAGCUACACCCAUCUGCAGGAGUGGCCGUAGCGUUAGGUCAGUCCUUAAACAGUCUUACUUUGCCACACACUGAAGCAGCAUCUGUGACCGGACACACACACAUACAGGUGACCUGUUAUUGC